This 250-nucleotide ribosomal RNA is filed under the name uncultured prokaryote. RNAcentral's name for it is "partial 16S rRNA". It matches the Rfam family "Bacterial small subunit ribosomal RNA", at positions 525 to 775 of the family's 1533-position model. The record is from RNAcentral.
ACAGAGGGUGCAAGCGUUAAUCGGAGUUAUUGGGCGUAAAGGGCGCGUAGGUGGAUACUUAAGUCAAUUGUGAAAUACCCGGGCUUAACCUGGGAAUUGCAUUUGAUACUGGGUGUCUAGAGUAUGGGAGAGGAAAGCGGAAUUCCCGGUGUAGCGGUAAAAUGCGUAGAUAUCGGGAAGAACACCAGUGCGAAGGCGGCUUUCUGGACCAAUACUGACACUGAGGCGCGAAAGCGUGGGGAGCAAACAG